AACCCAUGAUGAGGGCACCUUUUCAAUAUAUCUUUAAAUCUCUCUUAUGCAUCAAAUAAUGUCUCCAAAUAAAUUUGAGCAAAACAAGAGAUGUCAUUUCUCAACUU
Molecule: small nucleolar RNA, 107 nt
Organism: Gossypium arboreum
Lineage: Eukaryota; Viridiplantae; Streptophyta; Magnoliopsida; Malvales; Malvaceae
Rfam family: Plant small nucleolar RNA R71
About the family: R71 is a member of the C/D box family of snoRNAs containing the C (UGAUGA) and D (CUGA) box motifs. Multiple nearly identical copies of this snoRNA have been identified in Arabidopsis, and it is thought to function as a 2'-O-ribose methylation guide for 18S ribosomal RNA.
Source: Rfam